Molecule: ribosomal RNA, 837 nt
Filed under: Microbacterium sp. U41-11
Lineage: Bacteria; Bacillati; Actinomycetota; Actinomycetes; Micrococcales; Microbacteriaceae
Description: bacterial SSU rRNA
Rfam family: Bacterial small subunit ribosomal RNA
Source: RNAcentral
GCAGACUAGAGUGCGGUAGGGGAGAUUGGAAUUCCUGGUGUAGCGGUGGAAUGCGCAGAUAUCAGGAGGAACACCGAUGGCGAAGGCAGAUCUCUGGGCCGUAACUGACGCUGAGGAGCGAAAGGGUGGGGAGCAAACAGGCUUAGAUACCCUGGUAGUCCACCCCGUAAACGUUGGGAACUAGUUGUGGGGUCCAUUCCACGGAUUCCGUGACGCAGCUAACGCAUUAAGUUCCCCGCCUGGGGAGUACGGCCGCAAGGCUAAAACUCAAAGGAAUUGACGGGGACCCGCACAAGCGGCGGAGCAUGCGGAUUAAUUCGAUGCAACGCGAAGAACCUUACCAAGGCUUGACAUAUACGAGAACGGGCCAGAAAUGGUCAACUCUUUGGACACUCGUAAACAGGUGGUGCAUGGUUGUCGUCAGCUCGUGUCGUGAGAUGUUGGGUUAAGUCCCGCAACGAGCGCAACCCUCGUUCUAUGUUGCCAGCACGUAAUGGUGGGAACUCAUGGGAUACUGCCGGGGUCAACUCGGAGGAAGGUGGGGAUGACGUCAAAUCAUCAUGCCCCUUAUGUCUUGGGCUUCACGCAUGCUACAAUGGCCGGUACAAAGGGCUGCAAUACCGCGAGGUGGAGCGAAUCCCAAAAAGCCGGUCCCAGUUCGGAUUGAGGUCUGCAACUCGACCUCAUGAAGUCGGAGUCGCUAGUAAUCGCAGAUCAGCAACGCUGCGGUGAAUACGUUCCCGGGUCUUGUACACACCGCCCGUCAAGUCAUGAAAGUCGGUAACACCUGAAGCCGGGGCCUACCCUGGAGGAGCCUCAAGUGAUCAUGCCNUUUUU